RNAcentral lists this ribosomal RNA (934 nucleotides) under methanogenic prokaryote enrichment culture B19_101. Its description in RNAcentral is "bacterial SSU rRNA". It matches the Rfam family "Bacterial small subunit ribosomal RNA", at positions 8 to 916 of the family's 1533-position model. The record is from RNAcentral.
AGAGUUUGAUCCUGGCUCAGAACAAACGCUGGCGGCGUGCCUAACACAUGCAAGUCGUACGAGAAAGUCCGCUUCGGUGGAUGAGUAAAGUGGCGCACGGGUGAGUAACGCGUGGAUAAUCUACCCUUUAGUCUGGAAUAACUUAUCGAAAGGUGAACUAAUACCGGAUAAUAUCCCGAUUUCUUCGGCGAUCGGGAUCAAAGAAGGCCUCUGCUUGCAAGCUUUCACUGAAGGAUGAGUCCGCGUACCAUUAGCUAGUUGGCAGGGUAAUGGCCUACCAAGGUUAUGAUGGUUAGCUGGUCUGAGAGGAUGAUCAGCCACACUGGAACUGAAACACGGUCCAGACUCCUACGGGAGGCAGCAGUGAGGAAUAUUGCGCAAUGGGGGCAACCCUGACGCAGCAACGCCGCGUGAGUGAGGAAGGUUUUCGGAUUGUAAAGCUCUGUCGAGCGGAAAGAAGUGCAUGGUGGUUAAUAUCCAUCAUGCUUGACGGUACCGCUAAAGGAAGCACCGGCUAACUCCGUGCCAGCAGCCGCGGUAAUACGGGGGGUGCAAGCGUUGUUCGGAAUCAUUGGGCGUAAAGCGCGUGUAGGCGGCUGGACAAGUCAGAUGUGAAAGCCCUGGGCUUAACCCAGGAAGUGCAUUUGAAACUGUUCAGCUAGAGUAAGGGAGAGGAAAGUGGAAUUCCUGGUGUAGAGGUGAAAUUCGUAGAUAUCAGGAGGAACACCGGUGGCGAACGCGACUUUCUGGCCCUAUACUGACGCUGAGACGCGAAAGCGUGGGUAGCAAACAGGAUUAGAUACCCUGGUAGUCCACGCUGUAAACGAUGUUCACUAGUGUUGGGGGUAUUGACCCUUCCAGUGCCGCAGCUAACGCAUUAAGUGAACCGCCUGGGGAGUACGGUCGCAAGAUUAAAACUCAAAAGAAUUGACGG